CGUGUGAAGACAGACGAGGGUAAAGACCAUCGACUUUUCCUGCGCGACUUUAACCGAGCAACGACUCCGAGCGACACACUUAAGCCCGCACGGGCUGCUCCUUCCAACCCCUGGUUAUCCGAGGUUCUUCGUGAACAUCGGACUACACUCAGAGCGGCAGAGAGAAAAUGGCGCAAAUCAAACGAUCUGUCGGACCUCAAACGACAAACUGGAUGCUAAACAGUCAGGUUUCAGGAGGGGCCAUUCAACUGAGACUGCGCUUCUCUCGGUCACUGAAGCCCUGCGAAUUGCAAAAGCCCAUUCCAAAUCAUCAGUCCUCAUUCUGCUGGACCUAUCUGCCGCUUUUGACACUG
Long non-coding RNA from Onychostoma macrolepis, 353 nucleotides. RefSeq lists it as uncharacterized. Lineage: Eukaryota; Metazoa; Chordata; Actinopteri; Cypriniformes; Cyprinidae. The transcript is spliced from 3 exons. The record is from RefSeq and is a predicted model, not a curated record.